RNAcentral lists this ribosomal RNA (1358 nucleotides) under Tomopleura sp. JEU-2016. Its description in RNAcentral is "16S ribosomal RNA". The stretch from base 646 to 1358 matches the Rfam family "Archaeal large subunit ribosomal RNA", at positions 1423 to 2871 of the family's 2987-position model. The record is from RNAcentral. Lineage: Eukaryota; Metazoa; Mollusca; Gastropoda; Neogastropoda; Conidae.
AAAUAAAAAACAUUAGUAAUAAUAUAAGCUUUAUUCUUUAUUAAAACAUUAUAAGAUUUAGUAAAGGUGAUUAAAUAUUUUUGUGUUACUUAAUAAAAGUACUGUAAAGGAACUAAAUUAACUAUAGAAAAGAAAGAAUUUAUCUCUGUACCUUUUGUAUCAUGGUUUAACUAGAUUAAAUUUCGCAUGGAAAUACUCGAAAUCUAAUGAGCUAUCUUUAACCUUUAUAUUAGUAUCUAAUAGUUAAUUGUAGCAAAAAUUUCUUUAGAGUUGAAGAUAGAGAUGAAAUUUUAUUCGCAUUAGAUGAUAGCUAGUUCUCUUUGAAAGGCAUAGUAGUGCUUUGGACUAAUUUUAUUUAAUAAUUAAUUGUUAUUAAAUUAUAUUUUAGUCUAGUUAUAUUUUUGAGGAUAAGCUCGAAAAUACAUAAAUUUUUACAUAAUAUUUAUAUAUAAAUUUAAGCUUGAAAAUAGUUAUUAUAGUUAGAUUUUGUUACAAUUUCAUUAUUUAAUAAAAAAUAUAAUUAAUUUGUUAUAAUAUAAUGGGGAGAUCUCAAGAAUUAAAUAAUGAGGUGUAUUUAUGUUAAAAUGAGUAUUAAAAUACUGUAUUAAAAUUAAAAGAUGUAUAUUAUUAAAAUUGGUUUUUAAAUUUUUGGUUUAAAUUAUGGAAAGGAACUCGGCAAAGUAUAUUCUGCCUGUUUAUCAAAAACAUGGCUUCAUGUAUUAUAAAAAUAUGAAGUCGGACCUGCCCAGUGAUUAGUUUUUAACGGCCGCGGUACUCUGACCGUGCAAAGGUAGCAUAAUCAUUUGCCUUAUAAUUGAAGGCUAGAAUGAAUGGUUUGACAAGAAUAUAACUGUCUCUCUGUAAUUUAAUAGAAUUUUAUUUUUAGAUGAAAAAGUCUUAAUUAAAUUAAAAGACAAGAAGACCCUAUCGAGCUUUAAAGAAAUUAGUAAAAUAAUAUAUUAAUUAAACUAAAAAAUAAGUUGCUAAAAAUUUUGGUUGGGGCAACCAAGGAGCAAAAAAAUCCUCCUUUAUAAUUAUUAAACAUUUCUAGUAUUGAUCCAAAAUUUUUGAUUAAAGGAAAUAGUUACCGUAGGGAUAACAGCAUUAUCUUUUUUAAGAGUUCUAAUCGAAAAAAAGGUUUGUGACCUCGAUGUUGGACCAGAAUAUCCUAAAGAUGCAGAAGUCUUUAAAGGUUGGUCUGUUCGACCAUUAAAAUUCUACGUGAUCUGAGUUCAGACCGGCGUGAGCCAGGUCAGUUUCUAUCUUUAAUUUUUUAAAUAUAUUUAGUACGAAAGGACCAAUAUAUUGUAAUAAUUACAAAAAAAUGAAGAAAUAUAAAGAGAAUUUAAGUUUUUAAA